AGUUUGAUCAGUGCUCAGAACGACGCUGGCGGCGCGUUUAAGCAUGCAAGUCGAGCGGCAAGGGCCUUCGGGCCCCUAGAGCGGCGGACGGGUGAGUAACACGUGGACAAUCUGCCCCCCGGCCCGGGAUAGCCCAGGGAAACCUGGAUUAAUACCGGAUGAGACGGGACCCGCGAUGGCGGGAUCCGGGAAAGGCGCUGCGGCGCCGCCGGGGGAUGAGUCUGCGUCCCAUUAGCUAGACGGCGGGGUAACGGCCCACCGUGGCGACGAUGGGUAGCCGGCCUGAGAGGGUGGACGGCCACAUUGGAACUGAGACACGGUCCAGACUCCUACGGGAGGCAGCAGCUAAGAAUCUUCCGCAAUGGGCGAAAGCCUGACGGAGCGACGCCCGCGUGAACGAAGGAGGCCGUGAGGUUGUAAAGUUCUUUUCGGGAGGGGGAACAACCGUGGCAGGGAAUGGCCGCGGGAUGACGUGAAUCCCGGAAUAAGCCCCGGCUAACUACGUGCCAGCCGCUGC
This 517-nucleotide ribosomal RNA is filed under the name uncultured bacterium. RNAcentral describes it as "bacterial SSU rRNA". It matches the Rfam family "Bacterial small subunit ribosomal RNA", at positions 10 to 518 of the family's 1533-position model. The record is from RNAcentral.